This 434-nucleotide unclassified non-coding RNA is filed under the name fungal sp. Its description in RNAcentral is "partial internal transcribed spacer region". The stretch from base 1 to 46 matches the Rfam family "Eukaryotic small subunit ribosomal RNA", at positions 1786 to 1831 of the family's 1831-position model. The record is from RNAcentral. Lineage: Eukaryota; Fungi.
AAGUCGUAACAAGGUUUCCGUAGGUGAACCUGCGGAAGGAUCAUUAACACGUAUCCACGUUAUCAACCAAUCGAGAACUUGUUUUCACGUCUCCCUUUGCAAUUUGAAUGAAUUGGAACCAGUUUGAGGGAAUUGAUGUGGAUUGCAGUCAAAUGCAAUCGGCCUUCCUGGUAUACUAACGAACACUGAAAAGUGAUUGUUGACAAUUGUAUCUUAUUGAUUAAAAGGCCAAAUUUCUUUCGCUAUUUCGAUCUCACAUCAUGAUCAAUGGAAUAGCUUGAAGGAGAAACAAAUUAUAAAACCAUUUUCACCACCUUUUUGCUAGUUGACUUUUUUUAUCUGUGAUCGUUUUGCUUUUUAGCAACUCAGUCGCACGUUUAAAUUAUUUGAACGUUAAAAAUAUACAACUCUUAGCAAUGGAUAUCUUGGUUCUC